Molecule: ribosomal RNA, 497 nt
Filed under: uncultured bacterium
Lineage: Bacteria
Description: bacterial SSU rRNA
Rfam family: Bacterial small subunit ribosomal RNA
Source: RNAcentral
GACGAACGCUGGCGGCGUGCUUAACACAUGCAAGUCGAACGGAAAGGCCCUUUCGGGGGUACUCGAGUGGCGAACGGGUGAGUAACACGUGGGUGAUCUGCCCUGCACUUCGGGAUAAGCUUGGGAAACUGGGUCUAAUACCGGAUAGGACUACGAAUCGCAUGGUUUGUGGUGGAAAGCUUUUGCGGUGUGGGAUGGGCCCGCGGCCUAUCAGCUUGUUGGUGGGGUGAUGGCCUACCAAGGCGACGACGGGUAGCCGGCCUGAGAGGGUGUCCGGCCACACUGGGACUGAGAUACGGCCCAGACUCCUACGGGAGGCAGCAGUGGGGAAUAUUGCACAAUGGGCGCAAGCCUGAUGCAGCGACGCCGCGUGGGGGAUGACGGCCUUCGGGUUGUAAACCUCUUUCACCAUCGGCGAAGCCGGGAGCUUUUGUUUCUGGUGACGGUAGGUGGAGAAGAAGCACCGGCCAACUACGUGCCAGCAGCCGCGGUAACAC